Pelobates cultripes (western spadefoot toad) is the source of this 280-nucleotide non-coding RNA. The record is from the annotation of a GenBank genome assembly. NCBI's taxonomy places the organism in Eukaryota, Metazoa, Chordata, Amphibia, Anura, Pelobatidae.
AUGCAUUUUGCAAACCGCUUUCAUGAGUUGUUCCAAGGGAGUCAACCAAAAGUGUUGUAUGCAUUUACUGUAGACAGGCUUGAGAUUCAGGUACCCAAGACAAAAGAGUGAAUAAAUUGAUCUGCAGUAGAUGGUGCUUAUCAGAAAUCCAUGCUUUAAGUAGCAAUUUGUUUUUGACACAAAAAGUGCCAUUCUCCAGGUUUUGGAAAUUAUGAAAUCAAAUUUCCUCUGCCCUAUUGUCCAUUGCUAUGAUUUAUUUUAGUUGAAUCCUGUAUUGUGG